RNAcentral lists this non-coding RNA (174 nucleotides) under Aidingimonas halophila. Lineage: Bacteria; Pseudomonadati; Pseudomonadota; Gammaproteobacteria; Oceanospirillales; Halomonadaceae. The record is from RNAcentral.
GUCAUCGCGAGGUGGCGUUUGGGGGAAGCCCAAUCCGAAGCCGGGGGCGACGAACAGGAACCCGAUACGAGGUGUGGUACGCCCGGGGCGAGCUGGCACGUGACAGCGAAGCCCUCCAUCUGCGAACGGGGUGUGCUUUAUAAAUCGGGCGUCUACGCGGUGACAGUUCUGUGU